Molecule: unclassified non-coding RNA, 317 nt
Filed under: uncultured fungus
Lineage: Eukaryota; Fungi
Description: partial contains 5.8S ribosomal RNA and internal transcribed spacer 2
Rfam family: 5.8S ribosomal RNA (bases 1-133)
Source: RNAcentral
UGGUUCUGGCAUCGAUGAAGAACGCAGCGAAAUGCGAUAAGUAAUGUGAAUUGCAGAAUUUAGUGAAUCAUCGAAUCUUUGAACGCACAUUGCGCCCAUCAGUAUUCUGAUGGGCAUGCCUGUUCGAGCGUCAUUUCAAACUCUUAAGCUCUGCUGCUUAGUGUUAGGGACCGCUAUAGUAGCGCCCCUCAAAGACAUUGGCGGAGUCGUUUAGGGCUCUCAGCGUAGUAAUUCUUCUCGCUUUAGAGCACCGGCGGCCUUUUGCCACAACAAACAUCUCAAGGUUUGACCUCGGAUCAGGUAGGAAUACCCGCUGA